GAUGAACGCUGGCGGCGUGCCUAAUACAUGCAAGUCGAGCGAACGGACGAGAAGCUUGCUUCUCUGAUGUUAGCGGCGCGCGGGUGAGUAACACGUGGAUAACCUACCUAUCAGACUGGGAUCACUUCGGGAAACCGGAGCCAAUACCGUAUGAUAUUUUGCACCGCAUUGUUCAAAAGUGAAAGACGGUCUUGCUGUCACUUAUAGAUGGAUCCGCGCUGCAUUAGCUAGUUGGUAAGGUAACGGCUUACCAAGGCAACGAUGCAUAGCCGACCUGAGAGGGUGAUAGGCCACACUGGAACGGAGACACGGUCCAGACUCCUACGGGAGGGAGCAGUAGGGAAUCGUCCGCAACGGGCGAAAGCCUGACGGAGUAACGGCGAGUGAGUGAUGAAGGUCUUCGGAUCGUAAAACUCUGUUAUGAGGGAAGAACAUAUGUGUAAGGAACUGUGCACAGCGUGACGGUAACGAAUCAGAAAGCCACGGCUAACUACGUG
This 497-nucleotide ribosomal RNA is filed under the name uncultured bacterium. RNAcentral describes it as "partial 16S ribosomal RNA". It matches the Rfam family "Bacterial small subunit ribosomal RNA", at positions 28 to 507 of the family's 1533-position model. The record is from RNAcentral.